UACGGGGGAGCAAGCGUUGUUCGGAUUUACUGGCGUAAAGGGCGCGUAGGCGGCACCGCAAGUCGACUGUGAAAUCUCCGGGCUUAACUCGGAAAGGUCAGCCGAUACUGCGGGCUAGAGUGCAGAAGGGGCAACUGGAAUUCUCGGUGUAGCGGUGAAAUGCGUAGAUAUCGAGAGGAACACCUGCGGCGAAGGCGGUGCCUGGAGCUUGCUGACGCUGAUGCGCGAAGCGUGGGGAGCGAUCGG
This 246-nucleotide ribosomal RNA is filed under the name uncultured bacterium. Its description in RNAcentral is "partial 16S ribosomal RNA". It matches the Rfam family "Bacterial small subunit ribosomal RNA", at positions 524 to 775 of the family's 1533-position model. The record is from RNAcentral.